GGCCUAACACAUGCAAGUCGAGCGGUAGCACAGGGAGCUUGCUCCUGGGUGACGAGCGGCGGACGGGUGAGUAAUGUCUGGGAAACUGCCUGAUGGAGGGGGAUAACUACUGGAAACGGUAGCUAAUACCGCAUAAUGUCUUCGGACCAAAGAGGGGGACCUUCGGGCCUCUUGCCAUCAGAUGUGCCCAGAUGGGAUUAGCUAGUAGGUGAGGUAAUGGCUCACCUAGGCGACGAUCCCUAGCUGGUCUGAGAGGAUGACCAGCCACACUGGAACUGAGACACGGUCCAGACUCCUACGGGAGGCAGCAGUGGGGAAUAUUGCACAAUGGGCGCAAGCCUGAUGCAGCCAUGCCGCGUGUGUGAAGAAGGCCUUCGGGUUGUAAAGCACUUUCAGCGAGGAGGAAGGGUUCAGUGUUAAUAGCACUGUUCAUUGACGUUACUCGCAGAA
Molecule: ribosomal RNA, 450 nt
Filed under: uncultured Gammaproteobacteria bacterium
Lineage: Bacteria; Pseudomonadati; Pseudomonadota; Gammaproteobacteria
Description: bacterial SSU rRNA
Rfam family: Bacterial small subunit ribosomal RNA
Source: RNAcentral